UACAGAGGGUGCAAGCGUUGCUCGGAUUUACUGGGCGUAAAGCGUACGCAGACGGCCACGCAGGUCGGGUGUGAAAGCCCAGGGCUCAACCCUGGAACAGCAUUCGAAACCAUGUGGCUCGAGGAUGAGAGAGGAGAGCGGAAUUCCCGGUGUAGAGGUGAAAUUCGUAGAUAUCGGGAGGAACACCAGUGGCGAAAGCGGCUCUCUGGCUCAUUUCUGACGUUCAGGUACGAAAGCGUGGGGAGCAAACAGG
RNAcentral lists this ribosomal RNA (253 nucleotides) under uncultured bacterium. Its description in RNAcentral is "partial 16S ribosomal RNA". It matches the Rfam family "Bacterial small subunit ribosomal RNA", at positions 524 to 776 of the family's 1533-position model. The record is from RNAcentral.